UACGUAGGGUGCAAGCGUUAUCCGGAAUUAUUGGGCGUAAAGCGCACGUAGGCGGAUCUUUAAGUCAGAGGUGAAAUCCCAAGGCUCAACCUUGGAACUGCCUUUGAUACUGGGGAUCUUGAGUCCGGGAGAGGUGAGUGGAACUGCGAGUGUAGAGGUGAAAUUCGUAGAUAUUCGCAAGAACACCAGUGGCGAAGGCGGCUCACUGGCCCGGUACUGACGCUGAGGUGCGAAAGCGUGGGGAGCAAACAGG
This 253-nucleotide ribosomal RNA is filed under the name uncultured bacterium. RNAcentral describes it as "partial 16S ribosomal RNA". It matches the Rfam family "Bacterial small subunit ribosomal RNA", at positions 524 to 776 of the family's 1533-position model. The record is from RNAcentral.